RNAcentral lists this ribosomal RNA (480 nucleotides) under uncultured bacterium. RNAcentral describes it as "SSU rRNA". It matches the Rfam family "Bacterial small subunit ribosomal RNA", at positions 26 to 491 of the family's 1533-position model. The record is from RNAcentral.
AGAGCGAACGCUGGCGGCGUGCUUAACACAUGCAAGUCGAACGCGCAGCAUUCUGUAGCAAUACAGGAUGUGGGCGCGUGGCGAACGGGUGCGUAACACGUGGAUAACCUUCCUUCAGGUGGGGAAUAACCCAGCGAAAGUUGGGCUAAUACCGCAUAACAUGACGAUGCCACAUGGUGUUGUCUUCAAAGGCGCAAGUCGCCAGAAGAGGGAUCCGCGGCCGAUUAGCUUGUUGGCGAGGUAAUGGCUCACCAAGGCAUUGAUCGGUAGCCGGACUGAGAGGUUGGCCGGCCACACUGGAACUGAGACACGGUCCAGACUCCUACGGGAGGCAGCAGUGGGGAAUCUUGCACAAUGGACGAAAGCCUGAUGGUGUGACGCCGCGUGGAGGAUGAAGGUCUUAGGAUUGUAAACUCUGUCAUUCAUGAGCAAGGUUACUGGGUUAAUACCGUGGGACUUGAUAUUAGUGAAAGAGGAAGA